Molecule: RNA transcript, 2046 nt
Organism: Elaeis guineensis (African oil palm)
Lineage: Eukaryota; Viridiplantae; Streptophyta; Magnoliopsida; Arecales; Arecaceae
Source: RefSeq, a predicted model, not a curated record
AGGUCGGUUUGCCAAAUUAGCCACCCAAAACGCCUUCUUCUCCUUUCCUUUUCUUCUCUCUCCCAAUUCCCUUUUUUUGAAAAAAAAAAAAAGUUUCUCUCUCUAAGUACCUAAUGCCAGCCACCUCCAGAAGAUCGAGCGAGAGGGUUCUCCCGAUCUCGAACACCUUCCAGCGAUCGAUCUCGCCGUCAGGACGCUUCCCCUCCGGCUACGCCGGCGGCAUGGCCGCCAUCUCCUCCAGCUCCUCCACCUUCUUCCACCACCACCGGCCCUCCUCCCCCACCCGCGUCAACCUCGUCGGCGCCUCCCCCUCUCCCGUCCCCUCCGUCCGCUUCUCCCUCGACCACCACCGCCACCGCCCCACCUCCCCCGGCCGAUCCCUCGCCGUCGCCGACCACCUCUCCUCACGCCCCAUCGCCUCCCCCGCACCCCAGCGCCGGACGUGCAUGUGCUCCCCCACCACCCACCCGGGCUCCUUCCGCUGUAGCCUCCACAAGGGCCUCCAUCUCCAACACAACCACAACGCCGUCUCGUCGCCGUCGAACCGGCUCAACGCGCGGCGGUCGGCGAUGGCGAACUCGCUGGUCCGGAUCGGGACCGUGGAGGGGGAAUGGGUGAAGCGGGCGCUCACCGCUCUCAUCCGCCCUUCCUCCCACCAGCAACGGCGGCGGGCGGCGUUCCAGCCGCGGCCCAGCCGCCUCUCCGUCAUGUCCAAGGCCGACGAUCUCUGAUCUAAACCCGCCUCUUAGAUCUGGAUUCCAAAGCCAAGCAGCAGCGAGAAAAUACGUUCUUCCCGUUCCGUUGAUAUUUUCCGUCGCCGUUUGCGGUGUGACCACCGUCAUAUGGAUGGAUUCCGUCGUCGUCGUUGUGUUUAUGCCGUCACAGUCGUCGAAAUGCGUUGUCGCCUUGGAGGAAUCGCCGGCAUCAGCGCCGGGUUUCGCUGGGAAAGACGACAAACGUGGUGGACCCAUCAGAGACGCAUUUAACGGGACAUAUUUAAUUAUUGGAAACAAAUAUAUAUUAAUUAAUUAAUUAUUUAUUUAUUUAUUUUAAUAUAAAAAAGAGAAAAGAUAUUGCAAAGAGGGAAAGAAGUAUCUGAACGGCCUAAUAAGGCCGAGCUAGUUCACUGAACCAAAUAGUUCCUGGACCGGAUCACCGGGAGUAUUAUAACCAAUACAAAAUACUUGGUUAAUUAAUUAAAGAAAUAUGAAAGUAAAUAUUCUGAAGUGUUUUUUGGUAAAUAUCCUGAAUUUAAAAAAAGAUUUAAAACGGGGAGCCGGGAAUGCCAAUUUGUUAACAUCUUUGUGAGCCAGAUGAUGGUGGGAUGCAUAUGAUCACUCUUGUGCAUCAAAGUCAACACGCACAAAAAUCAUAUGAAAUUUUUUAAUAUUAAUUUUAAAAUAAAAAUUAAAAAAUCAAAAAAAAAUUUACUAAUAGAAUUAGUCUCAUGAUUAAAUUUUUUUUUUAUUUUCAACACAUAAUAAUACAUACUAUAUGAUCAUAUAAUAUAUAUUAAAUAAUAUAUAUUAUAAUUUUUUUAAUAUACAUUCAACAACGAUGCAAUAUACAUUUACAGUUAAAUUGACACAUAGUUUAUCGAAUUUAAUAUUAAUCAUUAUACAGUAUAUGACUAGUUGAUACACAUCUAGCAAAAUAUUUAUUCAAUAUCCCAAUAUAUAUCUCUAGAUAAAAUGAUAUAUAAUUUUUAAAAUAUAGCAUUCAUCAACACACAGUAUAUAAGCAAAUGAUAUACACUAGAUGACUUAUUGCUACAUAUUGUAAGUUUUUUUGAUACACACCCAGUAAUAACCUAAUAUACACUUUGAAACUCUUUAUCUUUUUUCAAAUUUUUUUUCGUUUCUACGAUCUUUGCAUCUAAAAGUUACUAUAUAUUAUUUUACCUAAAGAUAUAUAUUGAGUUGUCGGAUGAAUAUUUUAUUAGGUAUGUACCAACCAACCAUAUAUUGUGUAUUAGUGAAUACUAAGUUUAGUAAACUAUGUAUCAAUUUAGCUGUAAGUAUAUAUUGAUCGUUGCUGGAUGCGUAU